RNAcentral lists this ribosomal RNA (953 nucleotides) under Coelotinae sp. ZZ013. RNAcentral describes it as "SSU rRNA". It matches the Rfam family "Eukaryotic small subunit ribosomal RNA", at positions 157 to 1108 of the family's 1831-position model. The record is from RNAcentral. Lineage: Eukaryota; Metazoa; Arthropoda; Arachnida; Araneae; Agelenidae.
UCUAGAGCUAAUACAUGCAGCAGAGCUCCGACCUUCGGGGACGAGCGCUUUUAUUAGACCAAAACCAAUCGGACCUCGUGUCCGUCCUUUGUGGUGACUCUGUAUAACUUUGGGCUGAUCGCACGGGCCUGUCCCGGCGACGUAUCUUUCAAGUGUCUGCCUUAUCAACUUUCGAUGGUAGGUUACGCGCCUACCAUGGUCGUAACGGGUAACGGGGAAUCAGGGUUCGAUUCCGGAGAGGGAGCCUGAGAAACGGCUACCACAUCCAAGGAAGGCAGCAGGCGCGCAAAUUACCCACUCCCAGAACGGGGAGGUAGUGACGAAAAAUAACAAUACGGGACUCUUUUGAGACCCCGUAAUUGGAAUGAGUACACUCUAAAUCCUUUAACGAGGAUCCAUUGGAGGGUAAGUCUGGUGCCAGCAGCCGCGGUAAUUCCAGCUCCAAUAGCGUAUAUUAAAGUUGUUGCGGUUAAAAAGCUCGUAGUUGGAUCUCAGUUCCAGACGGGUGGUCCGCCUACCGGUGGUUACUGCCUGUUCUGAACAGUCAGCCGGUUUCUCUUGAUGAUCUUCACCGGUUGUCUUGGGUGACCGGCAAGUUUACUUUGAAAAAAUUAGAGUGCUCAAAGCAGGCGUGACGCCUGAAUAAUGGUGCAUGGAAUAAUGGAAUAGGACCUCGGUUCUAUUUUGUUGGUUUUCGGAACACGAGGUAAUGAUUAAGAGGGACAGACGGGGGCAUUCGUAUUGCGACGCUAGAGGUGAAAUUCUUGGACCGUCGCAAGACGAACUACUGCGAAAGCAUUUGCCAAGAAUGUUUCCAUUAAUCAAGAACGAAAGUUAGAGGUUCGAAGGCGAUCAGAUACCGCCCUAGUUCUAACCAUAAACGAUGCCAGCCAGCGAUCCGGCUGUGUUCCUCAAAUGACACGCCGGGCAGCUCCCGGGAAACCAAAGCUUUU